AGUGAACGCUGGCGGUAGGCCUAACACAUGCAAGUCGAACGGCAGCACAGUAAGAGCUUGCUCUUACGGGUGGCGAGUGGCGGACGGGUGAGGAAUACAUCGGAAUCUACUUUUUCGUGGGGGAUAACGUAGGGAAACUUACGCUAAUACCGCAUACGACCUACGGGUGAAAGCAGGGGAUCUUCGGACCUUGCGCGAUUGAAUGAGCCGAUGUCGGAUUAGCUAGUUGGCGGGGUAAAGGCCCACCAAGGCGACGAUCCGUAGCUGGUCUGAGAGGAUGAUCAGCCACACUGGAACUGAGACCCGGUCCAGACUCCUACGGGAGGCCGCAGUGGGGAAUAUUGGACAAUGGGCGCAAGCCUGAUCCAGCCCUACCGCGUGGGUGAAGAAGGCCUUCGGGUUGUAAAGCCCUUUUGUUGGGAAAGAAAAGCAGCAGGUUAAUACCCCGCUGUUCUGACGGUACCCAAAGAAUAAGCACCGGCUAACUUCGUG
Molecule: ribosomal RNA, 492 nt
Filed under: uncultured bacterium
Lineage: Bacteria
Description: partial 16S ribosomal RNA
Rfam family: Bacterial small subunit ribosomal RNA
Source: RNAcentral